Molecule: long non-coding RNA, 279 nt
Organism: Brassica rapa (field mustard)
Lineage: Eukaryota; Viridiplantae; Streptophyta; Magnoliopsida; Brassicales; Brassicaceae
Source: RefSeq, a predicted model, not a curated record
AGCCUCAGACAUCUGUUUCCAGAUGGCAGACCUGAGAUCAGCAGACACCUUCUGGAGAUCCUCGGCAGUGCUCUUGCCAUCCCAGAAUGACUCCAACGCGAACUUGAGCUCUCUCUUGGGGCCCAUGCGAGGGUAUCCAACAAUGUGUGACGCCAUUUCGAUUUUUUUACUUUUACUGCAUCAAACAGUAAAAAACAAUUCAAGAUCAAUAUAAAAAAAGAUAAUAAAACAAAGUUUCAAACUCCAAGAAAGUGGCAGAUUUAAAUAUUCACGUGUUAA